UGGCGGACGGGUGAGUAACGCGUGGAGAACCUGCCGUAUACUGGGGGAUAACACUUAGAAAUAGGUGCUAAUACCGCAUAAGCGCACAGCUUCGCAUGAAGCGGUGUGAAAAACUCUGGUGGUAUACGAUGGUUCCGCGUCUGGUUAGCUAGUUGGUGGGGUAAUGGCCUACCAAGGCAACGAUCAGUAGCCGGCCUGAGAGGGUGAACGGCCACAUUGGGACUGAGACACGGCCCAAACUCCUACGGGAGGCAGCAG
RNAcentral lists this ribosomal RNA (258 nucleotides) under uncultured bacterium. Its description in RNAcentral is "partial 16S ribosomal RNA". It matches the Rfam family "Bacterial small subunit ribosomal RNA", at positions 96 to 354 of the family's 1533-position model. The record is from RNAcentral.